CGGCGGACGGGUGAGUAACGCGUGGGGAACCGUGCCCUAUACAGGGGGAUAACAGUUAGAAAUAGACUGCUAAUACCGCAUAAGCGCACGGAGCCGCAUGGCGCUGAGUGAAAAACGAUAGUGGUAUAGGAGGGACCCGCGUCUGAUUAGGUAGUUGGUGGGGUAACGGCCCACCAAGCCGACGAUCAGUAGCCGACCUGAGAGGGUGACCGGCCACAUUGGGACUGAGACACGGCCCAAACUCCUACGGAAGGCAGCAG
Molecule: ribosomal RNA, 260 nt
Filed under: uncultured bacterium
Lineage: Bacteria
Description: partial 16S ribosomal RNA
Rfam family: Bacterial small subunit ribosomal RNA
Source: RNAcentral